GAUGAACGCUGGCGGCGUGCCUAAUACAUGCAAGUCGAGCGAACGGAUGAGAAGCUUGCUUCUCUGAUGUUAGCGGCGGACGGGUGAGUAACACGUGGAUAACCUACCUAUAAGACUGGGAUAACUUCGGGAAACCGGAGCUAAUACCGGAUAAUAUUUUGAACCGCAUGGUUCAAAAGUGAAAGACGGUCUUGCUGUCACUUAUAGAUGGAUCCGCGCUGCAUUAGCUAGUUGGUAAGGUAACGGCUUACCAAGGCAACGAUGCAUAGCCGACCUGAGAGGGUGAUCGGCCACACUGGAACUGAGACACGGUCGAGACUCCUACGGGAGGCAGCAGUAGGGAAUCUUCCGCAAUGGGCGAAAGCCUGACGGAGCAACGCCGCGUGAGUGAUGAAGGUCUUCGGAUCGUAAAACUCUGUUAUUAGGGAAGAACAUAUGUGUAAGUAACUGUGCACAUCUUGACGGUACCUAAUCAGAAAGCCACGGCUAACUACGUG
Molecule: ribosomal RNA, 497 nt
Filed under: uncultured bacterium
Lineage: Bacteria
Description: partial 16S ribosomal RNA
Rfam family: Bacterial small subunit ribosomal RNA
Source: RNAcentral